RNAcentral lists this long non-coding RNA (549 nucleotides) under Olea europaea subsp. europaea. Lineage: Eukaryota; Viridiplantae; Streptophyta; Magnoliopsida; Lamiales; Oleaceae. The record is from RNAcentral.
AAAAUAAAAUAAAAUAAAUUGAAAAAAGAAACCAAAUACUUACACAACUGAACCAGGAAGAAGGAAGAAAAAAUCAAGGACCCAAACGAAUUGUUGCUUUCAUAUCCGCCCUAUUCACUACAAAAGGUCGACAACGAGCCGUUGAUUGUAUCGAUUAAGGUUUGUUUCACAGUCCUUUUAAAAAUUGCAAAUGUAUGAUCUUCCAUGUGAUUGUAUUUUAUGUAUUUAGUUUCAAAUUCUAAAAAUUGUGAAUGUAUUUAUCAAAUUGCUCUGCUUGUUUCUCCUCUACAAAAAGUAUGUAAAAGUAUGAUAUCAUACAUAAAUUUAUUAGACUGCUUUGCUGGUUUUUCGUCUAUAUUUUAUAUCUAUGAUUCAUGACAAAUUGGUAUUGCAUUGACAAAUGCCACCCAAUGAGGACUUGUUAGAUCUUCAAGAUUCAAAAACCCAACUCAACAACCUCAGAUUUUAGAGACAGAGAACGAGAAAGAGGACCUUGCCAUUUACUUUCUUCACCAUCAUUAUACGUACUAACUAGCUUGGAUUAUUAUC